Molecule: ribosomal RNA, 492 nt
Filed under: uncultured bacterium
Lineage: Bacteria
Description: partial 16S ribosomal RNA
Rfam family: Bacterial small subunit ribosomal RNA
Source: RNAcentral
AGUGAACGCUGGCGGUAGGCCUAACACAUGCCAGUCGAACGGCAGCACAGUAAGAGCUUGCUCUUACGGGUGGCGAGUGGCGGACGAGUGAGGAAUACAUCGGAAUCUACUUUUUCGUGGGGGAUAACGUAGGGAAACUUACGCUAAUACCGCAUACGACCUACGGGUGAAAGCAGGGGAUCUUCGGACCUUGCGCGAUUGAAUGAGCCGAUGUCGGAUUAGCUAGUUGGCGGGGUAAAGGCCCACCAAGGCGACGAUCCGUAGCUGGUCUGAGAGGAUGAUCAGCCACACUGGAACUGAGACACGGUCCAGACUCCUACGGGAGGCAGCAGUGGGGAAUAUUGGACAAUGGGCGCAAGCCUGAUCCAGCCAUACCGCGUGGGUGAAGAAGGCCUUCGGGUUGGAAAGCCCUUUUGUUGGGAAAGAAAAGCAGCAGGUUAAUACCCCGCUGUUCUGACGGUACCCAAAGAAUAAGCACCGGCUAACUUCGUG